RNA transcript from Lemur catta (Ring-tailed lemur), 4063 nucleotides. It is a transcript of the gene named chondroadherin like, with no coding region annotated. The record is from RefSeq and is a predicted model, not a curated record. The transcript is spliced from 7 exons. NCBI's taxonomy places the organism in Eukaryota, Metazoa, Chordata, Mammalia, Primates, Lemuridae.
CCAUUCAGCCCUGUCCCAGCUGCCAGGCCUGCAGGCCUGGGAGGGGACCUCCCAACGGCAACCAGGAGGGGACCGGCCUUUCCCUAUGCUGUGCCUCCAGGCUGGACUGGCAGUUCCAGGCGGCAUGGAGGGGCCCCAGAGCUCCACCCACAUCUCCUUGGUCCUACUGCUGCUUCUGCUGUCAGGCCCAGCUUGGCAGGCAGCUGCCCAACGCUGCCCACAGACCUGCAUCUGUGACAACUCCAGGUGGCACGUUGCCUGCCGGCACCAGAACCUCACUGAGGUGCCAAACGCCAUCCCUGAGCUGACUCAGCGGCUGGACCUCCGGGGCAACGUGCUGAAGGUGAUCCCUCCAGCUGCCUUCCAGGACCUGCCCUAUCUCACACAUCUGGACCUGCGGCACUGUCAGGUGGAGCUGGUGGCCGAGGGCGCCUUCCGUGGCCUGGGCCGCCUGCUCUUCCUCAAUCUGGCCUCCAACCGCCUGCGCACGCUGCCCCAGGAGGCGCUGGACGGGCUGGGCUCCCUGCGGCGGCUGGAGCUGGAGCGCAACAUGCUGGAGGAGCUGCGGCCCGGGGCGUUCGGGGCUCUGGGCGCUCUGGCCACGCUGAACCUGGCCCACAAUGCCCUGGUCUACCUGCCUGCCAUGGCCUUCCAGGGGCUGCUGCGCACCCGCUGGCUGCGGCUGUCCCACAACGCGCUCAGUGUGCUGGCCCCCGAGGCCCUGGCCGGCCUGCCCGCCCUGCGCCGCCUCAGCCUGCACCACAAUGAGCUGCAGGCCCUGCCCGGGCCAGCCCUGUCCCAGGCCAGCGGCCUGGCCCGUCUGGAGCUGGGCCACAACCCACUCACCUACGCGGGCGAGGAGGACGGGCUGGCCCUGCCCGGGCUGCGGGAGUUGCUGCUGGACCACGGGGCCCUGCAGGUGCUGGGUCCCAGAGCCUUCGCCCGCUGCCCCCGCCUGCACAGCCUCGAUCUCCGAGGGAACCAGCUGGACACGCUGCCCCCGCUGCAGGGCCCGGGCCAGCUGCGCCGGCUGCGGCUGCAGGGGAACCCGCUGUGGUGCGGCUGCCAGGCGCGGCCGCUGCUCGAGUGGCUGGCGCGGGCGCGCGUGCGCUCGGACGGCGCGUGCAGAGGCCCGCGGCGCCUGCGAGGCGAGGCCCUGGACGCGCUGCGGCCCUCGGACCUGCGCUGCCCCGGGGACCCGGAGGAGGAAGAGGCGGAGAAGAGAGAGGAGCUGGCAGCAGCCGGGCCCCGCGCCCCUCCGCGCGCCCCCGCGGGGGAGGACGGGGCGGUGGUGCCCUGCCCUCGCGCCUGCGUGUGCGUCGCCGAGUCCCGGCACAGCAGCUGCGAGGGCCGCGGCCUGCAGGCAGUGCCCCGCGGUUUCCCCAAUGACACUCAGCUCCUGGACCUGAGGCGGAACCACUUCCCCUCGGUGCCCCGAGCGGCCUUCUCCGGCUUGGGCCACCUGGUGUCUCUGCACCUGCAACACUGUGGCAUCACAGAUCUGAAGGCUGGCGCCUUAGCUGGGCUGGGCCGCCUGGUCUACCUCUACCUCUCUGACAACCAGCUGUCAAGCCUCAGUGCUGCCGCCCUCAAAGGGGCCCCACACCUUGGCUACCUGUACCUAGAGCGCAACCGCUUCCUGCAGGUGCCAGGGGCCGCGCUGCGCGCCCUGCCCAAACUCUUUUCCCUGCAUCUGCAGGACAACAUUGUGGAUUGCCUAACACCUGGAGACCUGGUGGGGACACGGGCUUUACGCUGGCUCUAUCUGAGUGGAAACCGUAUCGCUCAAGUGUCCCCAGGAGCGCUGGGCCCAGCUCUGGAGCUGGAGAAGAUACACCUUGACAGGAACCAGCUGCGAGAGGUGCCCACUGGGGCCUUGGAGGAGCUGCCUGUCCUCCUGGAGCUGCAGCUCUCUGGGAACCCACUCAGAUCCCUGCAAGAUGGGGCCUUCCGGCCUGUGGGCAGGUCGCUACAGCACCUCUUCCUGAACAGCAGUGGCCUGGAGCAGAUUUCUCCUGGGGCCUUCUCGGGCCUGGGACCAGGGCUCCAGAGCCUGCACCUGCAGAAGAACAAGCUUCGGGCCCUGCCUGCCCUGCCUGGUCUCAGCCGGCUUGAGCUCAUCGACCUCAGUGGUAAUCCCUUCCACUGUGAUUGCCAGCUGCUCCCACUGCACAGGUGGCUUACUGGGUUGAACCUGCAGGUGGGGGCCACCUGUGCCACCCCUCCCACUGCCCGGGGCCAGAGGGUGAAAGCUGCAGCUGCCGUCUUUCAAGCCUGCCCAGGCUGGGCUGCCAGGAAGGCCAAGCGGACACCAGCCUCCAGGUCCGGCUCCAGGAAAGCCCCCAUCAAGGGAAGACAGCCAGGAUCAGAAAAGAGCGUAGAGGACAAGGAAAAUAUGGUGGAGUCAUCCCACGCCAAGCAGGAGGCGGGCAGGUGGGCACUCCUAUGCCACCGAGUCCACCUUGGCCCUGAUUCCCCAAGAUGACGUAGAGGGCAUGGCUCAGGAGUGGGCCACUUCUGAUCACUAAAAUGCCAGUAAGUCAAGACGCUACAAAUCACAAACCCAUUUUAGACCAAGGAAACUCAUGACCCAGAGAGGUCAAGCAACUUGCCCAGAGUUGCAGAGACUCAUCAGUGCCAGAGCAGGGCUUCGAACCUGGUGUCCGACCUGUGCUCUUCACAGGCUCUGCACUCUGAUACCCUGGCGCCCCGCACUCCCCUCUACCUCCCAGCCCUCUGUUGAUGGCACAUGCAAGACUCAUGUCCAGAAAACUGAGUCCCCUUGUGUCUCCACAUGUCCAGUUCCAGCCCUGGCCCUGACAGGCUGUGGCUCUGAAAUGGUUUCAGCAGCAAUCAGUAUCCCCUCUGACCCAAAAAGGAACAGUGACCAAGACGCCCACGAGCUGUUCUUCAGAGAUCCACGGUGUGUCAUCUUCUUGUCCCAAUAAGGGGCUGGAGCUUUUCCACCCCCUCUAGCAUGCACUACAGGAUUGGCUACGUAAAAGUCAGCGCGUGCUUGCUGACUGUUGAUGUGGAUCACUGCCCUCUGCCCAGAGUCAUGCUUUUAAUGUAAAGAAAAAAAGAGGCCACCUCGUUACCCCUAGUGGUCUGUACCACCCACCACCGUCUGCCUCAUCCUAAGACAAGGGCUGGCUGAGAAAGAGUGAACAAUCACCUCCAAUCAUCAAAUCUGUCAACUGUGCAAAGCACUGUGGGAAAAACUUAGUUUUGCUGGAGUAAGAAUAUAGAGAACCUGAAAAGACAGUUAACAACAUAGAGAUAAAUAGCAAAUCAGUAUCCCGUAAGUUCAAAUAAGGAAGAAAUCAUUUCUAUUUUGGGGAAAAGUCCGGGAAUGCUCUUCGAGGUGCACUGAACCAUUCCUUGCUGAAGGCCAACUCUCCGUUAGCAAAGGCUCACGAUGUGCAACCUUUUCAUCUGGCGUCCAGUGCCGUGGGUGAGAUUCGAUCUAUAUUUUCCACUGUUGGCUUCCAUACCACCCAUGCUCUACAGAUCAAUGUAAAAUUUUCUCCACAAAGCCUUCCUUGAUAUCUGCUCCUCCUCUGAGGCCAAAAGGCCACUUGAAUUGCGUGUCCUAGCAGCACUUGUGCUGCCUUGUCCUGCACACGCUGCAGGGCUUACCCAGGGCAGCAUGGGAACAGCACCUCUGAGCACUUGGUUCAGGAGACCUCAGAUGCAGCCCAGGCACCUGUGUAUGAGAGCCCCAUGACAAGAGGCCUGGCAUAGAGAGGUGGGAGAGAAAGUCUUCACUAUAUAACCUUUUGUUCCCUUUGAUUUUUUUACCAUGUGCAUCUAUGACUUUUUAAUUUAAAGAACUAGUUUUUUUUUUUUUUUAAACUCAGCUCCUACAGGACUAAAUAGUUUUUUAAAAAGAAAAUUAAAUGCCACACAGAUAUUUCCCUUGUUCAGAACAAAGGCUUAUAAUAAUUCGUGUGCAUGACUUUCAUUUCCUCUGCCAGACGGGAGAUUCCUGGAUGGCAGUGUCUGUAUUCUUUGUACUCCCAAAGUGUGCCUUGUAUGCAAUAAGUACUUAAUAAAAUCUAUU